UUUCUUCCUUUAUUUUGCCUACAUGCCUACUACUAAGUCCAUAUUAAUGGCAAUAUUAAGUGUCAAAGCAUUCUGCUUUGUACCAAAGAUCUCUGAAUGAGGCUACUGUUUAUUGUAUUCUUUGUUGGGUGAAAGGUUAAAAAAAAGUGCAUGUAUUUUCUUUUCUGCAGUUCAUUCAGGUUUUAAUAUAGAGCAGAGCAAAAUACAAUGAAGAGAAUUGUACAUAAUAGUCUUGGCUUCUUGAAGAUACUAAGCUUCCCAUGAGUUAAGAGUAGACCUUCCGAAGCCUUGACUUACACACCUCGUAGAUUUUGGUCGUAUUGAAGCCUUUGCGACAUUGGUAUGUGGGGAGAUUUGAGCCUUGGCUUGUCUAGAGAUAAUUACCAGAGCUUGGUUGCUGAAUUACAAAUCCUUCUUACCUAACAGUCACACAGUAGCAGCUUCCAUAGCAGAGUAACAUAUUCCACGGUGGGUGCCAGGGAGGGCAAAGGGAAUGUGUUCUCCUGUGGUGGAUCAACCCACCUCUUUGAGACUGGCUGGAAGCAGAAGUUGAAACUUGCCGCUGAUUACUCUCUCCUUGAGUCUGAAAGGCUGUGCCAGAACUUUCAUCACCAUCACCAUCACAGGAGGAGUUUCCAGCCAGUGACCUGGCUUAGCAUCCACCGCUUCUCUCUUGAUUUGAUGGCUGGGAGGAGCAGGCUGACUUCCACACUGAAGAGACAAAGCCACAGUUUGGAGCUCCUGCUUGACGCGUUGUUUCUGAGAGGGAUACGAGCUGUUUUGGACGCAGGCCUGACACAGGCUUGUGAGACGGUGUGCAGCCAUCAUGAGCCCUGGAGCCGAGAGGCGGCUGAGGAAGUUUGGCCCUGAGCUAACAUCUGUGCCCAUCUUCCUCCACUUUAUAUGUGGGACGCCUACCACAGCAUGGCGUGCCAAGCCGUGCCAUGUCUGCACCCGGGAUCCAAAACAGUGAACCCUGGGCCGCCGAAACGGAAUGUGCGCGCUUAACCCCUGUGCCACCAGUCCGGCCCCCUGAAAAUCUUAAAAAUGACCAAUUGAAUAUAUAAACAUCUUCAAUUUUGAGUGACAGAAUUAUCAUUUUUAUGCUCCUUUAGAAAAUAAAUUUAAUUGAUUCUUCUCGAUAUACUUUCACUGCAAUCACUAUGUUCCCUGUCUCUACCCCAUAUAUUCACAAAUAAUUAAAAUAACAAAACAAUAGUCACCCCCCAAUUCCACUAUAAAAAUAGUGUUUUAGAAAAAGCAUAUUUCAAAUUAUCAAACACUCUACUCAUUUCCACAGUUUCAAGUCUACAAACAAAAAGUUAUCUUUCCGUAAGUUUAUUUUCUGCUGGCUUAGAUUAUAAAUAGUUCUUGGAGUUCAUAUUUUUCAAAAUCGUUGUGCUUCUUCAUUGAAAAAUAACUGACUUUUUCCCACGUUCGUUUUGUAUCUGCCAGUUGUGUCUACCUUCAGUGUUUUAAUUAAAGUUUAUUUUGGGCUAUCUACAUAAAGAUGAAUUAGUUUGGAAGCCAAAUUUUAUUACUCCUACUCCAAAGAUAGGUCCAAUAACA
Equus caballus (horse) is the source of this 1569-nucleotide long non-coding RNA. The record is from Ensembl. NCBI's taxonomy places the organism in Eukaryota, Metazoa, Chordata, Mammalia, Perissodactyla, Equidae.